AGUAAAAGUCGUAACAAGGUUUCCGUAGGUGAACCUGCGGAAGGAUCAUUAACAAAUGCGAAGCGGGGGAGUUGUCGCUGGCCUUUCGGGGCAUGUGCACGCUCCUUCGAAUCCAAAUCUAAACCCGUGAACCAACGGCGGAAGGGUCUUUGAGGCGCUGCGGUGCCGACGGGGCCUUUCCUGCUCAUCACACACCCUUCGUAUGUUUUAGAAUGUCGUCUGCGUAUUUUCGCAACAUAUACAACUUUCAGCAACGGAUCUCUUGGCUCUCGCAUCGAUGAAGAACGCAGCGAAAUGCGAUAAGUAAUGUGAAUUGCAGAAUUCAGUGAAUCAUCGAAUCUUUGAACGCACCUUGCGCGCUCCGGUAUUCCGGAGCGCACGCCCGUUUGAGUGUCGCGGUAUCAUCAAACUCCAACGUUUUUUUGACAUUGGUGGCUUGGAUAUGGAGGUGUUGCUGGGCCCUUUGGGGUUCGGCUCCUCUCAAAUGCAUUAGCUGGGACGUUCGGUCCGAAGGCUCUGACGUGAUAGUGAUGUUGCGUCGUAGUUCGAGGCCUCUCUUGUCGCCGCUUUCCACCGUCCUUCGGGACAGAAUACUCUUGACCCCUUGACUCAAAUCGGGCGGGACUACCCGCUG
Molecule: ribosomal RNA, 634 nt
Filed under: uncultured fungus
Lineage: Eukaryota; Fungi
Description: eukaryotic LSU rRNA
Rfam family: 5.8S ribosomal RNA (bases 243-396)
Source: RNAcentral